This 482-nucleotide ribosomal RNA is filed under the name uncultured bacterium. Its description in RNAcentral is "partial 16S ribosomal RNA". It matches the Rfam family "Bacterial small subunit ribosomal RNA", at positions 30 to 507 of the family's 1533-position model. The record is from RNAcentral.
AUUGAACGCUGGCGGCAUGCCUUACACAUGCAAGUCGAACGGUAACAGGUCUUCGGAUGCUGACGAGUGGCGAACGGGUGAGUAAUACAUCGGAACGUGCCCGAUCGUGGGGGAUAACGAGGCGAAAGCUUUGCUAAUACCGCAUACGAUCUACGGAUGAAAGCGGGGGAUCUUCGGACCUCGCGCGGACGGAGCGGCCGAUGGCAGAUUAGGUAGUUGGUGGGAUAAAAGCUUACCAAGCCGACGAUCUGUAGCUGGUCUGAGAGGAUGAUCAGCCACACUGGGACUGAGACACGGCCCAGACUCCUACGGGAGGCAGCAGUGGGGAAUUUUGGACAAUGGGCGAAAGCCUGAUCCGGCCAUGCCGCGUGCAGGAUGAAGGCCUUCGGGCUGUAAACUGCUUUUGUACGGAACGAAAAGCCUCUUUCUAAUAAAGAGGGGUCAUGACGGUACCGUAAGAAUAAGCACCGGCUAACUACGUG